AGCAGCCGCGGUAAUUCCAGCUCCAAUAGCGUAUAUUAAAGUUGUUGCAGUUAAAAAGCUCGUAGUUGAAUUUCGGAAUCAGUAUGUUGGUCGUGCUUCGGUACAUACUGUCAUUACUGGUUUCUACCUUCUGAAGAACCUUGAUGUCAUUAAUUUGGUGUCUUGGGGAAUCAGGACUGUUACUUUGAAAAAAUUAGAGUGUUUAAAGCAAGCAUACGCUUGAAUACAUUAGCAUGGAAUAAUGAAAUAGGACGUUUGAUUCUAUUUUGUUGGUUUCUAGGAUCGACGUAAUGAUUAAUAGGGAUAGUUGGGGGCAUUAGUAUUCAAUUGUCAGAGGUGAAAUUCUUGGAUUUAUUGAAGACUAACUACUGCGAAAGCAUUUGCCAAGGAUGUUUUCAUUAAUCAAGAACGAAAGUUAGGGGAUCAAAGACGAUCAGAUACCGUCGUAGU
This 450-nucleotide ribosomal RNA is filed under the name uncultured Glomeromycotina. RNAcentral describes it as "SSU rRNA". It matches the Rfam family "Eukaryotic small subunit ribosomal RNA", at positions 569 to 1024 of the family's 1831-position model. Lineage: Eukaryota; Fungi; Glomeromycota. The record is from RNAcentral.